RNAcentral lists this long non-coding RNA (409 nucleotides) under Sinocyclocheilus anshuiensis. RNAcentral's name for it is "lncRNA (ENSSANG00000049399.1)". The record is from RNAcentral. Lineage: Eukaryota; Metazoa; Chordata; Actinopteri; Cypriniformes; Cyprinidae.
CAUCACAAAGUAUUUCAAACAAGGUAAGACCGGAUGGACAUAUGCACUCUAUUUUAAAGUUUACCACAAAGUAAACAGUGAGUAAUCUUCACGGGCUGGCAGGUGUGGCACAUUUGUUGCUAAUGUGUCUCAAUGCAGCAACAGGGGGCUGCCAAGGUGUAUUCAGGUGCGUCUGGGCCUUGCUGAGGAUAAUACACGCGGGGCGAAUGAUUAGGACUCCCACAACCCCCUGCGGAGCGCCUGUCUCAGAGAAGAGCCUGGCAGACAGUAGCUUCAAGCCACUUCCUCAACCACAUUCCAGCACUGCUAAAUACGCCACUUCAGAGCGCAGGAGGUGACAUCAACUGAAUGCGGGCUGCUGACCUCAGCUCCUGAAAUAGCCCUCCAUGGUUAGCUGGAAGGAAAGGCG